This 463-nucleotide ribosomal RNA is filed under the name uncultured bacterium. Its description in RNAcentral is "partial 16S ribosomal RNA". It matches the Rfam family "Bacterial small subunit ribosomal RNA", at positions 28 to 507 of the family's 1533-position model. The record is from RNAcentral.
GACGAACGCUGGCGGCGUGCUUAACACAUGCAAGUCGAACGGUGAACCUCUUCGUAGGGGGUCAGUGGCGAACGGGUGAGUAACACGUGGGCAACCUGCCCCCGGCUCUGGGAUAACUCCAAGAAAGUGGGGCUAAUACCGGAUGUUCACCGCUUCCCGCAUGGGUGGUGGUGGAAAGAGUUUCGGGCUGGGGAUGGUCCCGCGGCCUAUCAGCUUGUUGGUGGGGUAGUGGCCUACCAAGGCGACGACGGGUAGCCGGCCUGAGAGGGUGACCGGCCACACUGGGACUGAGACACGGCCCAGACUCCUACGGGAGGCAGCAGUGGGGAAUAUUGCGCAAUGGGCGGAAGCCUGACGCAGCGACGCCGCGUGGGGGAUGACGGCCUUCGGGUUGUAAACCUCUUUCAGCAGGGACGAAGCGCAAGUGACGGUACCUGCAGAGGAAGCACCGGCCAACUACGUG